CCUCCUUUAUGCCUCGACCGGUGGCUGGGAGUGCAAGUGCAUCCUGGGAUGGGAGCAGUGCACCGAAACAGCCACCUUCAGAUAACAGAGCCGGCAACCAGCACCGCGCUGCUCCUUGCAGAUAUAGUCCCACCUUCCUCACUGUCCGCGGCAUCUCCGAAAACCGCAGAUCCGAGGGAAGUCCAGCGUGAUUACGGCACCAUUGCUUUCUGAACAAAGGUUACAUAAAUGAACGCUGCCAGACCCUCCAAACGUGGAGUAACGCAGAGCAAAUGGGCAGGAACCUGGAGAGCAGAGCGGCAGGGGGAGCUCCAGCCUGCCUGUGGACAGGAGCGAGGGAAAAGCAGAGAAAAACAACCUCUCCUAGAUCCGUGCUCCGCACUAGCUGCCAUGUCAGGAAUACCCAAUUUUGCUUUGUUACAAGACUUCCUCAACAACAGUGCUGAACUUUCCAACACAGUGCAGAAUCUGUCUGUUAUGCUAGAGCGAGAGAACCAUGCCCACCACCAGGAAGAUUAGACAUCUUACCUUGGGAUGCUGGGAGGAGCCCGGGUUGGCCGAGAGGGAACCUGGGGAGGUCCUCCAAGAGCUUCACCACCACUUGGAAACUGAGGCAAUGGUCCUGGUCGGAACGGGACUGGGGGAGCCCCUGACUGAGGGCCUGGAGAUGGGAUUGCAGGAGCAGGUCCUCGGCCAGAUAAAGGUCUGGUUGGGGGGUUGUUUAAUGUAGGCCUCCUCUGAGUUGAGGGACUUGGAGGAGGUGAUCUAGUGAAAUAUCAGAAGUUUAAGAAGUUCAGUAAGUUAAUGGAGUUUUUUGUUUGUUUGUUCGGGAAUUACUUCAAUUAUUUUUAAACACAAAGCCUUUUUUAUGCCUAUGACAAUUCUUUAUCCUGGCAUUUUCCUUUGUUGUCAGUGACAGAGCAUCACGUAUGUUUAAGUCUCACACCUUUUCCACGAACAGCAUGCUUUAUGAUAGUCAGAAAUAAACAUAUAAGCAAAGAAGCAAA
Strigops habroptila (Kakapo) is the source of this 1007-nucleotide long non-coding RNA. RefSeq lists it as uncharacterized. Lineage: Eukaryota; Metazoa; Chordata; Aves; Psittaciformes; Psittacidae. The record is from RefSeq and is a predicted model, not a curated record. The transcript has 2 exons.